CGCGUACAAAAUCUGCCUUCAACAGGGGGAAAGUCACUGGAAACGGUGAAUAAUCCCGCAUAAGACCACAAUGUCGCAUGGCAAAGAGGUUAAAGCUACGGCGGUUGAAGAUGAUUGUGCGUUCCAUUAGCUAGAUGGUAAGGUAACGGCUUACCAUGGCGACGAUGGGUAGGGGGCGUGAGAGCGUGAUCCCCCACACGGGUACUGAGACACGGACCCGACUCCUACGGGAGGCAGCAGUAAGGAAUAUUGGUCAAUGGAGGAAACUCUGAACCAGCCAUGCCGCGUGUGUGAUGAAUG
RNAcentral lists this ribosomal RNA (300 nucleotides) under uncultured Saprospira sp. Its description in RNAcentral is "bacterial SSU rRNA". It matches the Rfam family "Bacterial small subunit ribosomal RNA", at positions 114 to 414 of the family's 1533-position model. The record is from RNAcentral. Lineage: Bacteria; Pseudomonadati; Bacteroidota; Saprospiria; Saprospirales; Saprospiraceae.